RNAcentral lists this transfer RNA (85 nucleotides) under Geothermobacter ehrlichii. It matches the Rfam family "tRNA". From Rfam's summary of the family: Transfer RNA (tRNA) molecules are approximately 80 nucleotides in length. Their secondary structure includes four short double-helical elements and three loops (D, anti-codon, and T loops). Further hydrogen bonds mediate the characteristic L-shaped molecular structure. tRNAs have two regions of fundamental functional importance: the anti-codon, which is responsible for specific mRNA codon recognition, and the 3' end, to which the tRNAs corresponding amino acid is attached (by aminoacyl-tRNA synthetases). tRNAs cope with the degeneracy of the genetic code in two manners: having more than one tRNA (with a specific anti-codon) for a particular amino acid; and 'wobble' base-pairing, i.e. permitting non-standard base-pairing at the 3rd anti-codon position. Lineage: Bacteria; Pseudomonadati; Thermodesulfobacteriota; Desulfuromonadia; Desulfuromonadales; Geothermobacteraceae. The record is from Rfam by way of RNAcentral.
GGAGGGGUGUCCGAGCGGUCGAAGGUGACAGACUCGAAAUCUGUUGUGCCGAAAGGCACCGUGGGUUCGAAUCCCACCCCCUCCG